RNAcentral lists this ribosomal RNA (98 nucleotides) under Pseudomonas aeruginosa. RNAcentral also lists the same sequence under 2 other names. Lineage: Bacteria; Pseudomonadati; Pseudomonadota; Gammaproteobacteria; Pseudomonadales; Pseudomonadaceae. The record is from RNAcentral.
UUGGAACCACCUGAUCCCUUCCCGAACUCAGAAGUGAAACGACGCAUCGCCGAUGGUAGUGUGGGGUCUCCCCAUGUGAGAGUAGGUCAUCGUCAAGC